RNAcentral lists this ribosomal RNA (255 nucleotides) under uncultured bacterium. RNAcentral describes it as "partial 16S ribosomal RNA". It matches the Rfam family "Bacterial small subunit ribosomal RNA", at positions 524 to 776 of the family's 1533-position model. The record is from RNAcentral.
UACGUAGGGUGCGAGCGUUGUCCGGAAUUACUGGGCGUAAAGAGUUCGUAGGCGGUUUGUCGCGUCGUGUGUGAAAUCCCGCAGCUCAACUGCGGGCUUGCAGGCGAUACGGGCAGACUUGAGUACUGCAGGGGAGACUGGAAUUCCUGGUGUAGCGGUGAAAUGCGCAGAUAUCAGGAGGAACACCGGUGGCGAAGGCGGGUCUCUGGGCAGUAACUGACGCUGGAGGAACGAAAGCCGUGGGUAGCGAACAGG